Molecule: ribosomal RNA, 484 nt
Filed under: uncultured bacterium
Lineage: Bacteria
Description: partial 16S ribosomal RNA
Rfam family: Bacterial small subunit ribosomal RNA
Source: RNAcentral
AUUGAACGCUGGCGGCAGGCCUAACACUUGCAAGUCGAGCGGAUGAAGGGAGCUUGCUCCUGGAUUCAGCGGCGGACGGGUGAGUAAUGCCUAGGAAUCUGCCUGGUAGUGGGGGAUAACGUCCGGAAACGGGCGCUAAUACCGCAUACGUCCUGAGGGAGAAAGUGGGGGAUCUUCGGACCUCACGCUAUCAGAUGAGCCUAGGUCGGAUUAGCUAGUUGGUGGGGUAAAGGCCUACCAAGGCGACGAUCCGUAACUGGUCUGAGAGGAUGAUCAGUCACACUGGAACUGAGACACGGUCCAGACUCCUACGGGAGGCAGCAGUGGGGAAUAUUGGACAAUGGGCGAAAGCCUGAUCCAGCCAUGCCGCGUGUGAGAAGAAGGUCUUCGGAUUGUAAAGCACUUUAAGUUGGGAGGAAGGGCAGUAAGUUAAUACCUUGCUGUUUUGACGUUACCAACAGAAUAAGCACCGGCUAACUUCGUG